Molecule: non-coding RNA, 29 nt
Filed under: Drosophila erecta
Lineage: Eukaryota; Metazoa; Arthropoda; Insecta; Diptera; Drosophilidae
Also listed under: 2 other names
Source: RNAcentral
CCGUAGGGGAACCUGCGGAAGGAUCAUUA